This 115-nucleotide transfer RNA is filed under the name Planctomycetota bacterium. RNAcentral's name for it is "tRNA-Leu". The record is from RNAcentral. Lineage: Bacteria; Pseudomonadati; Planctomycetota.
CGGAGCGCGUAAGCUGCGUGCUGUUCGACGUUUCACGCUGUUUACGCUGUCUGGUUGGCAAGCCAGAAACUGCUUUGGGAGCAGGAGGCCGAGAGUUCAAAUCUCUCCGCCCCGA